GUGGGGAAUCUUGCGCAAUGGGCGAAAGCCUGACGCAGCCAUGUCGCGUGGAUGAUGAAGGUCUUAGGAUUGUAAAAUCCUUUCACCGGUGAAGAUAAUGACUGUAGCCGGAGAAGAAGCCCCGGCUAACUUCGUGCCAGCAGCCGCGGUAAUACGAAGGGGGCUAGCGUUGCUCGGAUUUACUGGGCGUAAAGGGCGCGUAGGCGGACAUUUAAGUCAGGGGUGAAAUCCCGGGGCUCAACCUCGGAACUGCCUUUGAUACUGGGUGUCUUGAGUAUGAGAGAGGUGUGUGGAACUCCGAGUGUAGAGGUGAAAUUCGUAGAUAUUCGGAAGAACACCAGUGGCGAAGGCGACACACUGGCUCAUUACUGACGCUGAGGCGCGAAAGCGUGGGGAGCAAACAGGAUUAGAAACCCUUGUAGUCC
Molecule: ribosomal RNA, 425 nt
Filed under: uncultured bacterium
Lineage: Bacteria
Description: partial 16S ribosomal RNA
Rfam family: Bacterial small subunit ribosomal RNA
Source: RNAcentral